CGUCGUGAAGAGGGAAACAACCCAGACCGCCAGCUAAGGUCCCAAAGUCAUGGUUAAGUGGGAAACGAUGUGGGAAGGCCCAGACAGCCAGGAUGUUGGCUUAGAAGCAGCCAUCAUUUAAAGAAAGCGUAAUAGCUCACUGGUCGAGUCGGCCUGCGCGGAAGAUGUAACGGGGCUAAACCAUGCACCGAAGCUGCGGCAGCGACGCUGAUGCGUUGUUGGGUAGGGGAGCGUUCUGUAAGCCUGCGAAGGUGUGCUGUGAGGCAUGCUGGAGGUAUCAGAAGUGCGAAUGCUGACAUAAGUAACGAUAAAGCGGGUGAAAAGCCCGCUCGCCGGAAGACCAAGGGUUCCUGUCCAACGUUAAUCGGGGCAGGGUGAGUCGACCCCUAAGGCGAGGCCGAAAGGCGUAGUCGAUGGGAAACAGGUUAAUAUUCCUGUACUUGGUGUUACUGCGAAGGGGGGACGGAGAAGGCUAUGUUGGCCGGGCGACGGUUGUCCCGGUUUAAGCGUGUAGGCUGGUUUUCCAGGCAAAUCCGGAAAAUCAAGGCUGAGGCGUGAUGACGAGGCACUACGGUGCUGAAGCAACAAAUGCCCUGCUUCCAGGAAAAGCCUCUAAGCAUCAGGUAACAUCAAAUCGUACCCCAAACCGACACAGGUGGUCAGGUAGAGAAUACCAAGGCGCUUGAGAGAACUCGGGUGAAGGAACUAGGCAAAAUGGUGCCGUAACUUCGGGAGAAGGCACGCUGAUAUGUAGGUGAAGUCCCUCGCGGAUGGAGCUGAAAUCAGUCGAAGAUACCAGCUGGCUGCAACUGUUUAUUAAAAACACAGCACUGUGCAAACACGAAAGUGGACGUAUACGGUGUGACGCCUGCCCGGUGCCGGAAGGUUAAUUGAUGGGGUUAGCCGCAAGGCGAAGCUCUUGAUCGAAGCCCCGGUAAACGGCGGCCGUAACUAUAACGGUCCUAAGGUAGCGAAAUUCCUUGUCGGGUAAGUUCCGACCUGCACGAAUGGCGUAAUGAUGGCCAGGCUGUCUCCACCCGAGACUCAGUGAAAUUGAACUCGCUGUGAAGAUGCAGUGUACCCGCGGCAAGACGGAAAGACCCCGUGAACCUUUACUAUAGCUUGACACUGAACAUUGAGCCUUGAUGUGUAGGAUAGGUGGGAGGCUUGGAAGUGUGGACGCCAGUCUGCAUGGAGCCGACCUUGAAAUACCACCCUUUAAUGUUUGAUGUUCUAACGUUGACCCGUAAUCCGGGUUGCGGACAGUGUCUGGUGGGUAGUUUGACUGGGGCGGUCUCCUCCUAAAGAGUAACGGAGGAGCACGAAGGUUGGCUAAUCCUGGUCGGACAUCAGGAGGUUAGUGCAAUGGCAUAAGCCAGCUUGACUGCGAGCGUGACGGCGCGAGCAGGUGCGAAAGCAGGUCAUAGUGAUCCGGUGGUUCUGAAUGGAAGGGCCAUCGCUCAACGGAUAAAAGGUACUCCGGGGAUAACAGGCUGAUACCGCCCAAGAGUUCAUAUCGACGGCGGUGUUUGGCACCUCGAUGUCGGCUCAUCACAUCCUGGGGCUGAAGUAGGUCCCAAGGGUAUGGCUGUUCGCCAUUUAAAGUGGUACGCGAGCUGGGUUUAGAACGUCGUGAGACAGUUCGGUCCCUAUCUGCCGUGGGCGCUGGAGAACUGAGGGGGGCUGCUCCUAGUACGAGAGGACCGGAGUGGACGCAUCACUGGUGUUCGGGUUGUCAUGCCAAUGGCACUGCCCGGUAGCUAAAUGCGGAAGAGAUAAGUGCUGAAAGCAUCUAAGCACGAAACUUGCCCCGAGAUGAGUUCUCCCUGACUCCUUGA
This 1838-nucleotide ribosomal RNA is filed under the name human gut metagenome. Its description in RNAcentral is "bacterial LSU rRNA". It matches the Rfam family "Bacterial large subunit ribosomal RNA", at positions 1006 to 2826 of the family's 2925-position model. The record is from RNAcentral.